This 197-nucleotide ribosomal RNA is filed under the name uncultured bacterium. RNAcentral describes it as "partial 16S ribosomal RNA". It matches the Rfam family "Bacterial small subunit ribosomal RNA", at positions 328 to 539 of the family's 1533-position model. The record is from RNAcentral.
ACGCUCGACACCUACGAGAGGCAGCAGUGGGGAAUAUUGCACAAUGGGGGAAACCCUGAUGCAGCGACGCCGCGUGGAGGAAGAAGGUCUUCGGAUUGUAAACUCCUGUUGUUGGGGAAAAGAGGAUGGUACCCAACAAGGAAGUGACGGCUAACUACGUGCCAUCAGCCACGGUAAUCUGAGCGGGCUGGCAAGGC